UGGUAUCUCACAGAUGCUGGGAAAAAGAUGAAGAGCUCUGCUUUGAGAUGAAUGGAAACUUGGAAUACUUUACGGGUUUCUGCAGUAGAAGUUUGGGGACCUCUCUUCUGGAGUGUGAACAUUACAGUGAUUCCACUCCCACCAUAAUCCAUCACAGCUCAGAGACUGGGACAUCUCUCAGAGCCCAGCCCAGAUUUCUGAAGGACCCAGAAUACUUGACAAGGAGGAAAAUCUUUGGAAAACAGAAGAGGGCUACGAAGGCAAACUAGACCAAAGGAGAAAUUCCUCAGAGCCUCAUAUACACAAUUCUGAAUGGCACCUACCUACUCAAAAAUUGCUGGAUGUGAGAAUAGUCCUAGCUGUUUCCUCAGCAAUAACUCCAAGUCAGGGAUGCUACCAG
Molecule: long non-coding RNA, 400 nt
Organism: Orcinus orca (killer whale)
Lineage: Eukaryota; Metazoa; Chordata; Mammalia; Artiodactyla; Delphinidae
Exons: 3
Source: RefSeq, a predicted model, not a curated record